UACGUAGGGUGCAAGCGUUGUCCGGAAUUAUUGGGCGUAAAGAGCUCGUAGGCGGUUUGUCGCGUCUGCUGUGAAAACCCGAGGCUCAACCUCGGCCUGCAGUGGUACGGCAGACUAGAGUGCGGUAGGGAGAUUGGAAUUCCUGGUGUAGCGGUGGAAUGCGCAGAUAUCAGGAGGAACACCAAUGGCGAAGGCAGAUCUCUGGCCGUAACUGACGCUGAGAGCGAAGCAUGGGAGCGAAUGG
This 244-nucleotide ribosomal RNA is filed under the name uncultured bacterium. RNAcentral's name for it is "partial 16S ribosomal RNA". It matches the Rfam family "Bacterial small subunit ribosomal RNA", at positions 524 to 775 of the family's 1533-position model. The record is from RNAcentral.